AUCCUUUAACAUCGAGGCCGCAUUUUAUUUUUCUAAUAGUCUGUUCUCUUAAAGUUGUUCAUUGGUUAUUCCAGCGUUAUUCCAGAUUGAAAUUAUUGACUUUUAGGGCGGAGUAUUAUGAAAUUUUGCAGUAUUCUUAGUCACAGGCGGCAUGGUCUGGGGUCGACUGAAAAGGUUUCUAAACUUUGCCUUUCUCACCAAAAAUGUGUUGUCUGUAGUAUUGGUGUUUCCAGUCACAAUGAACCUCCAUCGCCAUUGCAGCAGAGGUUUGGUGUCACUGUUUUGGUCCACAAUAUCAGAAGGAUGAGUGACCUCAUUGAAAUGAGCUGAAUGAUUUUGUAUCUAAACAGAUGGCACUCAUCCUGUAAGACUGAGCCCUCUCCAGAAAUGAACUAACUGGUACCAUCCAAGUUAAUAUUCUUGGCUUUGGCGCUGUUCCUAAGGAUCUGUGGUCCCAGAAGUGCACUGAUGGCUUCUGAUAAUGGAUUUACACAAGUCUGGGUACCCAGUGACUCCCUGAUGGAGUCAAGACCGUUUUGGUCCUGGUGUAGGUGAAGUGAGGCAAGAUCAACACAAAGAGCAAAAGCUGUUUAUCUCUGUUCUCUGAGGGAGCCUUGAGUUUGGCUGUAUCUUACACUUUAUUGGAUGUUUGUGGAUCUAUAAGCUUUGUGAUUUAAGCCAAUAAAAGCAGCUUUAUCCAUCUUGA
Molecule: long non-coding RNA, 706 nt
Organism: Myxocyprinus asiaticus (Chinese sucker)
Lineage: Eukaryota; Metazoa; Chordata; Actinopteri; Cypriniformes; Catostomidae
Exons: 5
Source: RefSeq, a predicted model, not a curated record